RNAcentral lists this ribosomal RNA (346 nucleotides) under uncultured eukaryote. RNAcentral describes it as "SSU rRNA". It matches the Rfam family "Eukaryotic small subunit ribosomal RNA", at positions 594 to 945 of the family's 1831-position model. The record is from RNAcentral.
AUAGCGUAUAUUAAAGUUGUUGCAGUUAAAAAGCUCGUAGUUGAAUUUUAGGCCUGGUUGGACGGUCUGCUCUAGGGUUUGUACUGUCCUGACCGGGUCUUACCUUCUGGUGAGCUGUUGCAUUGUUUACUCAGUGUGGCAGGGAACCAGGACUUUUACUUUGAAAAAAUUAGAGUGUUUAAAGCAGGCAUUCGCUUGAAUACAUUAGCAUGGAAUAAUAGAAUAGGACUUUGGUUCUAUUUUGUUGGUUUCUAGGACCGAAGUAAUGAUUAAUAGGGAUAGUUGGGGGCAUUAGUAUUUAAUUGUCAGAGGUGAAAUUCUUGGAUUUAUUAAAGACUAACUUCUG